UAACUCAGCGGGUCAGGCAGCAUUCCUGGAGAACAUGGAUAGAUGAGGUUUUGAGUCGGGGAGCCUUCAGUCUUGUGACUGGCCAACGUGGUCUACUUGGGCCCCCACAGCAUUGCUGCAUGAACAAUAAGCAAGUCCAAACAGAUGGAUUGUGUAGGAAGGAACUGCAGAUGCUGGUCUAACAUCAGUCUGAAGAAACGUCACUCAUUCCUUCUCUCCAGAGAUGCUGCCUGUCUAAGUUUCAAUCAUUCCAUUGUGCGGAGACUAAACCCGAGCAUCCUCCUCUGCAACCCGUAAGCUGGGCCAGUGCCUCACCCGUCUUUCUCCCCUCACUCCAUCACGGCAGCACAAUCAGAGGAAAGAUCUUCGAAGCUCAUUAAAUAUGUGAUGCCCCAUUAUAUUACGUGUUCAGCGAGGGACGCAAGGAAAGACACACUGCAUGAUGCUGCCUGACCGCUGAGUUCCACCAGCACUUUGUGUUUCGUUCAAGUUUCAAGCAACUGCACAUCGGAACAAUGGCGCAGCGGUAGAGUUGCUGUCUUACAGCGCAAGAGACCUGGGUUCAAUCCUGUCUACAGAUGCUGUCUGGGUGAAGUUUGCACGUUCACCGUGUGACCACAUGGGGGUUCUCUGGGUGCUCCAGUUUCAUCAAAAAGACACACAGAUGCUGUUGCACCCGCUGAGUUUCUCCAGCACUUUUGUCUACAUAUAAUAGGGAGCUGGGUCAUCUGAUGGACAGCCUAUUUUGUUGCCCAUUUUCCAGAACAUGCAAAAAAUAUUAUUCAAGUGAUCUGGCAUAUGUUGAUUUGACCUCGCUUAAAAUAAAGAUGCCUUUAGAUUAACGUCAGCAAUUUUACCUGUUAAACUGCAAGAAAGACAAGUUGCAAUACAAAUCAAGAACAAAAAGAUGCCAAAACGUGAAGACGAGGGGUGUCAAACAAAAGCACCUCUCUCUUAGUUGCCGAUUGCUUUUUUUCAACAGUUUUGGCUUUUCCAUCCCAGAUAGGAAUCCAUUUUGACCCAUAGAGUCUGUUCUGUCUCACAAAGAAAUCCCACCCCUAAGUAAUUUUUCCUUCUUGCCUAUUCUCUCAUCAACAACCCCGAUAGUCUACUACUCACCUAAUGUAUUCGGGGAAGUUUGCAGCAGUCAAUGAACCUCACAACCCAAACACCUUUGCAACGUGGGAGGAAACCAGAGCAUCCAGCAGAAACACACACUGACACAGGGAGAACAUUAAACUCAGCAUAGACAGCACCCGAGGUCAGGACUGAACUCACGUUGCUGAAGCUGUAUGGUAGACUCUGUGCUGCCCUUUCCUUAUUUAUUUUUAUUACUUGGCAAGGUGUUAUUUUCAUUUGUUUUUUUUUCUUCCUUUUUGUCCAUUCUGCCCACAAGUGUGACACCCCAGAGGAAGAACAGGCCCCCGUGACGUCUCCAUGUGAUUGCUGACUGACAUCUGAUGGCUCUGUGGCCUCAUCUCUGGGUAGGACCUGGGGGAGGAGUAACCUCCCGUCCCAGCCUGCGGUCCGCAGGAGAACCAUUCACGUUCCUGUGGCGGUUUCAUGGAGCUCCCCCCAGUCUUAUCUGAGAGCUUUCACCUUCUUCACAGUCUGACCUAGUUUGCCUAAUGUAUAAAGACUCAGUGUGAGCAAAAUCUGAACGAGGGCUAUAUGUAUAUAUGUAUGUAGCUUUGUUUGUUUAUACUAUUCUUAUAACAAAUGUAAAGCACUUUGGCCAACGAGAGUUGUUUUUUAAAUGUGCCAUAUAAAUAAAUGUGAGUUGACCUGACAAAAUCGUUCAUUUACAGUGACCACGCUUUGCCCGCUGAUGUUAAAAAGAUUUAUAGUGUGGGGAUGUAUCCCUAGCUCUGUAAUUAAAUGACGUGAUUAUUAUCACUGAUGCUGUUAUUUUUUUUGUGACGGUAUCUCUAAAAGGUUAACAAUUAUAAUUGCACAUUUUUAGGAUAUUUAAGACUAUAAAAAGAUGACUGAAGUUAAAGCAAUCGAGGGUAUUAAUUAAAUUAGGUGGGCCCUAAGGCGCUAAACAGCUAAACAAGAUGAUGACCCACCAUAGACACCAACAGCAAGGGACUGCUAAGGGCACAAGCAGUUAAUAUUUAGGCAGUGCUUUGUAAUUGUGAUCGUGUAAAAAAAUUAUAAACAAAAAAAUAGUAAGGAAUGAUAUGACAACUCUUUGUCAAUGAAAAAAGAUGCAGUGUUCACCGAUAAUGUGGAGGCCACCUGCUACAGGCAGGUCAGCACAUCCUUUGUGAUGCAGGUACCUAGGUGCACAACCAGGGUGGAAAAUACUUGCUCUUUACCCUUCCAUAUAAUCGGUUUCCAGCGCUGCUGCUCCACACUGAGGCCUCUUCUGCAGAGACGCGGGCAUUCAGUACUCACCAAGUACAGACUGGGACUUGGCUGGAGCAUCUGGACAGCUCCCAACUGGCAGUCAGGCCGGAAGCAAAUUAUACCAACAUAUAUCGAUCUGUUUUGUGGAAACAUGCUGACAAAACACUGCGGUGUUACCAGUUAAGCAGCUCCCUGGCGAGUCCAAGUCCAGGAAAUGGUUCGUUAUCAAUUGCCUUCAGCUUUAAACUAUUGUUUUCAGAUUGGCAUGAGGACAAGAACUAUUGUGUCAAUGAUUUUCAAAAUGUAUUGUAGUUCGAACUAAGCCAUGGCUGUGCACCAUUGAUUCAAAAUGGUCAGAAUCCAAGCUCUGUGAACCAGAGGCCAACACCCACUGAGAUCAAACUUAACCUGGGAUAAAACAAACUGCAAGAAAACAACCUUCCCCUUCAAGUAAGGGCAACAUCAACCAACAAACUGAAGCUGGAAAUUACAAUUGAAAAUGUUGAUUGACAAAAAUUCGAUCAAAUUCUUCUGCAUCUUCAAGUGACGAGUCUUGCAAAAAGCAUAUUAAUGUUCGUUCACUAAUACCAGCAACAACAAUUUGCAGCAUUUUGUUUACAGCGCUUGGUGCAUUCCACUUAAUCGUGGUGAGCCCCAGGGCUUCGUUGUGGGUGAGGACCUCGACAGCAUCAUACCAUCUGGAGCCUUUUCUGAUGUGUUCCGUGUAUCAAUCUGAAACAGUGGCAAGCUCUCUUGAACAAGCCAUGGGCCAGAUCCCGAGGAGUAGGUCUUUUCAGAUUCCCUUUGAGCAAAGUGGAUAAUAACUCCACCCGUAGCCUAAUUCUUGAUGCUUUUGUGGCGCAAAUCCAGCAUUGAAACGGAUUUGAGAUCCUAACUCUUGGCGAAGAAAUUAAAUGGCAAUCUCUGCUCGCCAAAGGGAAAGCUUUUGUCAUUCUACCCACUAGGAUGGUUCCCAAUCUGUGCCUAUAGCGAUUUGAGGAAACAGGAAUGCAACCUUUGCAACAAUCCAUUUGUC
Molecule: long non-coding RNA, 3388 nt
Organism: Leucoraja erinaceus (little skate)
Lineage: Eukaryota; Metazoa; Chordata; Chondrichthyes; Rajiformes; Rajidae
Exons: 3
Source: RefSeq, a predicted model, not a curated record